CAUAUGGAACUGACAGUUGUCUUUAUGCAUAACAUAUAAAAUAACACUUACAAGAAGAACAUAGCAAAACAAUGUCCUUUUUGUGAACAGGGGCCUAACUAUAAACUUUAUUGCUUUACCAGAAAUACAUUAUUAAAUAUGUCUCUGAAGCCUGGCUUUGAUCCUGUUCCUCUCUUCCCUGGAAUUGUUAGAUCCUGUUUCUGUAUCCAUUGUACAAGACAGUUUAAAAAAAAGAAAACAGUGAAAACAUCUGAAACGUAGUGUAUGGGAUUCAGCUGGAGCUGGUAGAGGUGAUGAUGUCCUCAGGAUCCCUCUCUCUGGCCUGGUCUGGUCAGAAUCAGGAUGACACAGGCUCAGGGUCCCAGAAGAUGGUGAGAGACCAGCCAUGAUGCUCUGGCGUGAAUAUUGAAAGGCUGUAUUGCACUGUCACACAAACCAGAACCACCAAUGGAGCUAGCUGCUGAUCUUGCUGGAGUCAUGACACUAGUGACGAAGACAUGAAAAUGAUUAAUGAACGAUGAAAAUUCAUUCACUUCUUCUCCACGGAAAAUCUUGAUUUGUACACGAUUACUACUACUAUUCUGUUUUCAAAUGAAUUAUAAAUUCAUUAUAGAUCGUGUAGAUUGCCCGAUAGUUAAGGUUGCCCAACACUUCCCAUUAUAAGACCCUGUUUUCAGGGGGCUGUGAUAUUGCCAAACUGAAACCAUAAAGGGUGAAAUUUCCUAUGUCAGGUAUCUGCCUCAGGCUGACUUCUUUUUUUUUUUUUUUUUAAAGUUUCAGCUUUAAAGAAAUAGUCAUUUCCAAGAAUGAGAUUAUUUUUAACAUAGGCAAAUAUAUUUCACUAAUCUUACAACAGUUUUGUUGAGAGGCUUUUGUGUCUACAUGCUCUGGAGCAACAGCUUGAAAUUUGGUAGGGGAGUCACCCUAGGGUCAGACAUGUGAUUCUUGCCAUUCCUGUGAAAAUCCAUUCAAAUUUGACCAGGUUAUAAACUUCUGAACAAUCUCAGUUCCCACUUGGCAGCUAAAUUCAUGGAAGAUUCCAUCUGCACUGAGCAUGCUCCAUCACUUCACAACUCCUGUGUGCUCAGUGGGCUCUGCAUAUGCCAUCCCCAUAUGGUGACAGCAUGUUUCAGACCAUUUCAGGGCUGAUAGGAUUUUCCAUGCAGUAUAUUAUUCCUCCCAGCAGCUAGGGACCACUGUGGCUCCAACCACUGAAACUGAGAACAGGGAUACUGUCUUUCCUGUGCUCUCAAUACUUCUCCUGUUGGUGACCAGCAGGCUGUGAGGAGGAGAAAGUGGGCACAGACUUCUUGUUCUUGUGUCUUUCCAUCACAAUCAUAGUUUUUCCAGUGUUGGGCACAUGACAUGGCCUGGUUUAUAGAACUGGCAAGAUUUUCCAUGGUCAACCCUUUCCUCCAGGAGUCGGCAGACCAACAGAUGUUCUACGCUUUGUGUGUCACUGCAGUCACAUAUAUUUGGGUCAUUGGAAUAGCUCCACAUCUGCAUAUUGACUUUUGACCUGCCAACUCUUGUUUGGAGAUGAUUUAAAUAUCUUCAACUCUAUCAAUCUUUCUCUGCACCUGUGGAAAGGCAUUUGGCAGUAUCAGUGUGCAUUUUGAUGUCCUCAUUGAGUUUUUUGAGCUGUGUGCACCACAUUUCCAGUUGUGCAGA
Molecule: long non-coding RNA, 1671 nt
Organism: Chelonia mydas (Green sea turtle)
Lineage: Eukaryota; Metazoa; Chordata; Testudines; Cheloniidae
Exons: 4
Source: RefSeq, a predicted model, not a curated record